This 1317-nucleotide ribosomal RNA is filed under the name Leuconostoc pseudomesenteroides. RNAcentral's name for it is "bacterial SSU rRNA". It matches the Rfam family "Bacterial small subunit ribosomal RNA", at positions 121 to 1423 of the family's 1533-position model. Lineage: Bacteria; Bacillati; Bacillota; Bacilli; Lactobacillales; Lactobacillaceae. The record is from RNAcentral.
AUAACCUGCCUCAAGGCUGGGGAUAACAUUUGGAAACAGAUGCUAAUACCGAAUAAAACUUAGUAUCGCAUGAUAUCAAGUUAAAAGGCGCUACGGCGUCACCUAGAGAUGGAUCCGCGGUGCAUUAGUUAGUUGGUGGGGUAAAGGCUUACCAAGACGAUGAUGCAUAGCCGAGUUGAGAGACUGAUCGGCCACAUUGGGACUGAGACACGGCCCAAACUCCUACGGGAGGCUGCAGUAGGGAAUCUUCCACAAUGGGCGCAAGCCUGAUGGAGCAACGCCGCGUGUGUGAUGAAGGCUUUCGGGUCGUAAAGCACUGUUGUAUGGGAAGAAAUGCUAAAAUAGGGAAUGAUUUUAGUUUGACGGUACCAUACCAGAAAGGGACGGCUAAAUACGUGCCAGCAGCCGCGGUAAUACGUAUGUCCCGAGCGUUAUCCGGAUUUAUUGGGCGUAAAGCGAGCGCAGACGGUUGAUUAAGUCUGAUGUGAAAGCCCGGAGCUCAACUCCGGAAUGGCAUUGGAAACUGGUUAACUUGAGUGUUGUAGAGGUAAGUGGAACUCCAUGUGUAGCGGUGGAAUGCGUAGAUAUAUGGAAGAACACCAGUGGCGAAGGCGGCUUACUGGACAACAACUGACGUUGAGGCUCGAAAGUGUGGGUAGCAAACAGGAUUAGAUACCCUGGUAGUCCACACCGUAAACGAUGAAUACUAGGUGUUAGGAGGUUUCCGCCUCUUAGUGCCGAAGCUAACGCAUUAAGUAUUCCGCCUGGGGAGUACGACCGCAAGGUUGAAACUCAAAGGAAUUGACGGGGACCCGCACAAGCGGUGGAGCAUGUGGUUUAAUUCGAAGCAACGCGAAGAACCUUACCAGGUCUUGACAUCCUUUGAAGCUUUUAGAGAUAGAAGUGUUCUCUUCGGAGACAAAGUGACAGGUGGUGCAUGGUCGUCGUCAGCUCGUGUCGUGAGAUGUUGGGUUAAGUCCCGCAACGAGCGCAACCCUUAUUGUUAGUUGCCAGCAUUCAGUUGGGGCACUCUAACCAAGACUGGCCGGUGACAAACCGGAGGAAGGCGGGGACGACGUCAGAUCAUCAUGCCCCUUAUGACCUGGGCUACACACGUGCUACAAUGGCGUAUACAACGAGUUGCCAACCUGCGAAGGUGAGCUAAUCUCUUAAAGUACGUCUCAGUUCGGACUGCAGUCUGCAACUCGACUGCACGAAGUCGGAAUCGCUAGUAAUCGCGGAUCAGCACGCCGCGGUGAAUACGUUCCCGGGUCUUGUACACACCGCCCGUCACACCAUGGGAGUUUGUAAUGCCCA